This 497-nucleotide ribosomal RNA is filed under the name uncultured bacterium. Its description in RNAcentral is "partial 16S ribosomal RNA". It matches the Rfam family "Bacterial small subunit ribosomal RNA", at positions 28 to 507 of the family's 1533-position model. The record is from RNAcentral.
GAUGAACGCUGGCGGCGUGCCUAAUACAUGCAAGUCGAGCGAACGGACGAGAAGCUUGCUUUUCUGAUGUUAGCGGCGGACGGGUGAGUAACACGUGGAUAACCUACCUAUAAGACUGGGAUAACUUCGGGAAACCGGAGCUAAUACCGGAUAAUAUUUUGAACCGCAUGGUUCAAAAGUGAAAGACGGUCUUGCUGUCACUUAUAGAUGGAUCCGCGCUGCAUUAGCUAGUUGGUAAGGUAACGGCUUACCAAGGCAACGAUGCAUAGCCGACCUGAGAGGGUGAUCGGCCACACUGGAACUGAGACACGGUCCAGACUACUACGGGAGGCAGCAGUAGGGAAUCUUCCGCAAUGGGCGAAAGCCUGACGGAGCAACGCCGCGUGAGUGAUGAAGGUCUUCGGAUCGUAAAACUCUGUUAUUCGGGAAGAACAUAUGUGUAAGUAACUGUGCACAUCUUGACGGUACCUGAUCAGAAAGCCACGGCUAACUACGUG